This 492-nucleotide ribosomal RNA is filed under the name uncultured bacterium. Its description in RNAcentral is "partial 16S ribosomal RNA". It matches the Rfam family "Bacterial small subunit ribosomal RNA", at positions 29 to 507 of the family's 1533-position model. The record is from RNAcentral.
AGUGAACGCUGGCGGUAGGCCUAACACAUGCAAGUCGAACGGCAGCACAGUAAGAGCUUGCUCUUACGGGUGGCGAGUGGCGGACGGGUGAGGAAUACAUCGUAAUCUACUUUUUCGUGGGGGAUAACGUAGGGAAACUUACGCUCAUACCGCAUACGACCUACGGUUGAAAGCAUUGGAUCUUCUGACCUUGCGCGAUUGAAUGGGCCGAUGUCGGAUUAGCUAGUUGGCGGGGUAAAGGCCCACCAAGGCGACGAUCCGUAGCUGGUCUGAGAGGAUGAUCAGCGACACUGGAACGGAGACACGGUCAAGAGUACUACGGGAGGCAGCAGAGGGGAAUAUUGGACAAUGGGCGCAAGCAUGAUCCAGCCAGACCGCGUGGGUGAAGAAGGCCUUCGGGUUGUAAAGACCCUUUGUUGGGAAAGAAAAGCAGCAGGUUAAUACCACGCUGUUCUGACGGUACCCAAAGAAUAAGCACCGGCUAACUUCGUG